UCCGGUGACUGAAGCGGAGGGGUCACACCCGUUCCCAUCCCGAACACGGCAGUUAAGCCCUCCAGCGCCGAUGGUACUUGGGCCUCGCCCUGGGAGAGUAGGCCGUUGCCGGAA
RNAcentral lists this ribosomal RNA (114 nucleotides) under Bacillota bacterium. The record is from RNAcentral. Lineage: Bacteria; Bacillati; Bacillota.